Molecule: transfer RNA, 65 nt
Filed under: Scolytinae sp. BMNH 1043001
Lineage: Eukaryota; Metazoa; Arthropoda; Insecta; Coleoptera; Curculionidae
Description: tRNA-Val
Source: RNAcentral
CAAACUAAAGCUUUAAUGAAGUAUUUUAUUUACAUUAAAAGGAUUAUUAUUUUUAUAUAGUUUGA